GCUCCGCUAGCCUAGUGGUUAGAGUGUCCGCCUCAGAUGCGGGAGGUCGUGGGAUCCAUCCCCAGCCGCGUCAUA
Potamilus streckersoni is the source of this 75-nucleotide non-coding RNA. Lineage: Eukaryota; Metazoa; Mollusca; Bivalvia; Unionida; Unionidae. The record is from the annotation of a GenBank genome assembly.